GUGGCCAGGUACUUGCAACAGUCCUUUUCUGUAUCUUCAAAUGUGUCCGGUCAGACAAACAAUCAGGUUCGACUAAUAGUUAUCAUGCCAGGGAGUCAGAGACCACAAUUCAUGUGUGGACUACGAAACAUAAUAAUAGGAUGUACCUUGGUCAUUUUCUCCUUCACAUUUGUUGCUCAAGGAAUACUUGCUGAUUCCCAAAGUGCAGAGGAGAUCACAAAGAGCCUGGCAGAGAUGAUUGUGAAAGACCUGCAACUUCUUUCCAUAGUGGAGGAUGAUGGCUUCAGGAAGUUUGUGAAGACACUUGACCACUGCUCCAAAAUUUAAUGGAGGGGAAACUACCAGCACUUUAUGAAGACUGUUGUCCUAAGGUUAGAAAGGCACUGAGUGGUGCGGACAAUGUUGUGCUCACCAGUGACAUGUAGACAUCAGGAGCCACACAGGCAUAUUUAACAGUCUCAUGCUACAUGAUUGAUGAAAACUGUCAAAUGGUGGCAUAAGUGCUAGAAACACGUAUGUUCCUGGACAACAACCUGCAGACAAUAUUUGUGCACAAUUAGUUAGACACAGAGGAAUGGGGCAUAACGGACAAGAUUCUGGCUGUUGUAACAGAUAAUGGUGCAAACAUGGUUGCUGCUGUGUGCAAAGCAGGAUGGCCACACUAUUCAUGUUUUGCACACAUUUUAAAUUUGGUGGUAAAAGACUCCAUUAAAGCCCUGCCUGACUUGCUUGAGCUUCAGCAGAAAAGCAGUGCUAUUGUUGCUUUCUUUCACCACAGCACUAAAGCUGCAGACAAGCUCAAAGACAUCCAGAAGCAGCAGAAGUUUCCUGAACAAAAACUAAUUGAAGCAGUUGAGACAAGGUGGAACUCUACAUUCUACAAUUCUCAGGGUUUUUUGCUUCCAAGUCCCUAAAAUGGAGCUUUGCAGAGUAAGAAUAAAUAUUAAACUGGC
Oreochromis aureus is the source of this 953-nucleotide long non-coding RNA. The record is from Ensembl. NCBI's taxonomy places the organism in Eukaryota, Metazoa, Chordata, Actinopteri, Cichliformes, Cichlidae.